This 253-nucleotide ribosomal RNA is filed under the name uncultured bacterium. RNAcentral describes it as "partial 16S ribosomal RNA". It matches the Rfam family "Bacterial small subunit ribosomal RNA", at positions 524 to 776 of the family's 1533-position model. The record is from RNAcentral.
UACGUAGGGUGCAAGCGUUAAUCGGAAUUACUGGGCGUAAAGCGUGCGCAGGCGGUUAUGUAAGACAGAUGUGAAAUCCCCGGGCUCAACCUGGGAACUGCAUUUGUGACUGGCGGGCUUGAGUGUGGCAGAGGGGGGUGGAAUUCCGCGUGUAGCAGUGAAAUGCGUAGAGAUGCGGAGGAACACCGAUGGCGAAGGCAGCCCCCUGGGCCAACACUGACGCUCAGGCACGAAAGCGUGGGGAGCAAACAGG